RNAcentral lists this ribosomal RNA (434 nucleotides) under uncultured Lachnospiraceae bacterium. RNAcentral describes it as "partial 16S ribosomal RNA". It matches the Rfam family "Bacterial small subunit ribosomal RNA", at positions 341 to 792 of the family's 1533-position model. The record is from RNAcentral. Lineage: Bacteria; Bacillati; Bacillota; Clostridia; Lachnospirales; Lachnospiraceae.
ACGGAAGGCAGCAGUGGGGAAUAUUGCACAAUGGGCGAAAGCCUGAUGCAGCGACGCCGCGUGAGUGAAGAAGUAUCUCGGUAUGUAAAGCUCUAUCAGCAGGGAAGAAAAUGACGGUACCUGACUAAGAAGCACCGGCUAAAUACGUGCCAGCAGCCGCGGUAAUACGUAUGGUGCAAGCGUUAUUCGGAUUUACUGGGUGUAAAGGGAGCGUAGACGGCAUGGCAAGUCUGAAGUGAAAUGCGGGGGCUCAACCCCUGAACUGCUUUGGAAACUGUCAAGCUAGAGUGUCGGAGAGGUAAGUGGAAUUCCUAGUGUAGCGGUGAAAUGCGUAGAUAUUAGGAGGAACACCAGUGGCGAAGGCGGCUUACUGGACGAUAACUGACGUUGAGGCUCGAAAGCGUGGGGAGCAAACAGGAUUAGAUACCCUGGUA